RNAcentral lists this non-coding RNA (102 nucleotides) under Rossellomorea vietnamensis. RNAcentral's name for it is "Bacillus vietnamensis Guanine sequence". It matches the Rfam family "Purine riboswitch aptamer". Rfam says of the family: Riboswitches are metabolite binding domains within certain messenger RNAs that serve as precision sensors for their corresponding targets. Allosteric rearrangement of mRNA structure is mediated by ligand binding, and this results in modulation of gene expression. Lineage: Bacteria; Bacillati; Bacillota; Bacilli; Caryophanales; Bacillaceae. The record is from Rfam by way of RNAcentral.
AUUCAAUCUUUCCUUUUCACUCAUAUAAUAGCGGGGAUAUGGCCCGCGAGUUUCUACCGGAUUACCGUAAAUGAUCCGACUAUGGGUGAGCAAUGAUAGGUG